Molecule: long non-coding RNA, 216 nt
Filed under: Elaeis guineensis (African oil palm)
Lineage: Eukaryota; Viridiplantae; Streptophyta; Magnoliopsida; Arecales; Arecaceae
Description: long non-coding RNA (EGUI_LNC052039)
Source: RNAcentral
GACUAGAUCAACUUCGAAAUCCAUUGUAGAGGUACUAUUAAGGAGAUCUGGUAGAGUACCGCAUUCAUCGAAUAAACACUUCAGUUUCUAGUUUCGAGACGUGAUCUUGUUGAACUCGAUGAGAAUAACAAGAAUCUGAUCACCUACAUGGAUGCCAUGUAGAGGUCUGACUCCGAUUAGUGGCUUGGAGCCAUAAAGUCCGAAAUGAAGUCGAUG